AUCUUUCCUCUGCUCAGUCUCCUGGGUAUGCAAGUGCAGUGAGCUUUUCUCCACCCAACUACCUCAGGCAGGCACUCUGACAGGCACAGGUUGGUUGGUGUGGAUUGCAUCUGAUGUGAGGGUGGGAUAGAGCUGAGUGCAAUCUGUGACAAGGCUUUGCCAACAAGGCAGCAAUUAUAGAUAUGGGAUUAUACAUGUGAAGGGCCAUUUCCACUUCUCUAACGUUUCCAGAGGGAAUGACAGAAGCCAUUUUAGGAUGAGAAAGCUAGUCCCUGCUCUGUGUUACAGGUUGGAC
RNAcentral lists this long non-coding RNA (295 nucleotides) under Gallus gallus (chicken). Lineage: Eukaryota; Metazoa; Chordata; Aves; Galliformes; Phasianidae. The record is from RNAcentral.